UACUUUUUUUUUUUUUUUUUUUUUUUUUUUUUUUUUUUUUUGCGAUUUUCUC
RNAcentral lists this non-coding RNA (52 nucleotides) under Alexandrium minutum. Lineage: Eukaryota; Dinophyceae; Gonyaulacales; Pyrocystaceae. The record is from RNAcentral.